RNAcentral lists this transfer RNA (58 nucleotides) under Mesocricetus auratus (golden hamster). It matches the Rfam family "tRNA", at positions 8 to 63 of the family's 71-position model. Rfam says of the family: Transfer RNA (tRNA) molecules are approximately 80 nucleotides in length. Their secondary structure includes four short double-helical elements and three loops (D, anti-codon, and T loops). Further hydrogen bonds mediate the characteristic L-shaped molecular structure. tRNAs have two regions of fundamental functional importance: the anti-codon, which is responsible for specific mRNA codon recognition, and the 3' end, to which the tRNAs corresponding amino acid is attached (by aminoacyl-tRNA synthetases). tRNAs cope with the degeneracy of the genetic code in two manners: having more than one tRNA (with a specific anti-codon) for a particular amino acid; and 'wobble' base-pairing, i.e. permitting non-standard base-pairing at the 3rd anti-codon position. Lineage: Eukaryota; Metazoa; Chordata; Mammalia; Rodentia; Cricetidae. The record is from Rfam by way of RNAcentral.
UGGCUCAGUGGUUAAGAGCACUGGCUGCCCUUCCAGAGGUCCUGAGUUCAACUCUCAG